GGCUAACUACGUGCCAGCAGCCGCGGUAAUACGUAGGUGGCAAGCGUUGUCCGGAAUUAUUGGGCGUAAAGGGCUCGCAGGCGGUUUCUUAAGUCUGAUGUGAAAGCCCCCGGCUCAACCGGGGAGGGUCAUUGGAAACUGGGGAACUUGAGUGCAGAAGAGGAGAGUGGAAUUCCACGUGUAGCGGUGAAAUGCGUAGAGAUGUGGAGGAACACCAGUGGCGAAGGCGACUCUCUGGUCUGUAACUGACGCUGAGGAGCGAAAGCGUGGGGAGCGAACAGGAUUAGAUACCCUGGUAGUCCACGCCGUAAACGAUGAGUGCUAAGUGUUAGGGGGUUUCCGCCCCUUAGUGCUGCAGCUAACGCAUUAAGCACUCCGCCUGGGGAGUACGGUCGCAAGACUGAAACUCAAAGGAAUUGACGGGGGCCCGCACAAGCGGUGGAGCAUGUGGUUUAAUUCGAAGCAACGCGAAGAACCUUACCAGGUCUUGACAUCCUCUGACAAUCCUAGAGAUAGGACUUCCCCUUCGGGGGCAGAGUGACAGGUGGUGCAUGGUUGUCGUCAGCUCGUGUCGUGAGAUGUUGGGUUAAGUCCCGCAACGAGCGCAACCCUUGAUCUUAGUUGCCAGCAUUCAGUUGGGCACUCUAAGGUGACUGCCGGUGACAAACCGGAGGAAGGUGGGGAUGACGUCAAAUCAUCAUGCCCCUUAUGACCUGGGCUACACACGUGCUACAAUGGACAGAACAAAGGGCAGCGAAACCGCGAGGUUAAGCCAAUCCCACAAAUCUGUUCUCAGUUCGGAUCGCAGUCUGCAACUCGACUGCGUGAAGCUGGAAUCGCUAGUAAUCGCGGAUCAGCAUGCCGCGGUGAAUACGUUCCC
This 880-nucleotide ribosomal RNA is filed under the name Bacillus subtilis. Its description in RNAcentral is "bacterial SSU rRNA". It matches the Rfam family "Bacterial small subunit ribosomal RNA", at positions 495 to 1375 of the family's 1533-position model. The record is from RNAcentral. Lineage: Bacteria; Bacillati; Bacillota; Bacilli; Caryophanales; Bacillaceae.